GAUGAAAACGCAGCGAAAUGCGAUACGUAAUGUGAAUUGCAGAAUUCAGUGAAUCAUCGAAUCUUUGAACGCAUAUUGCGCUCUCUGGUAUUCCGGAGAGCAUGCUUGUUUGAGUAUCAGUAAACACCUCAACUUCCAUAUCUUUUUUGAAAUGGGAGUUGGACUUGAGUGAUCCCAACGCUUUUCCUCACCGAAAAGUGGCGGGUUACUUGAAAUGCAGGUGCAGCUGGACUUUUCUCUGAGCUAUAAGCAUAUCUAUUUAGUCUGCCUAAAAAACAGAUUAUUACCUUUGCUGCAGCUAACAUAAAGGAGAUUAGUUCUUGUGCUGACUGAUGCAGGAUUCACAAAGACGGCUUCGGCCGACUUUGUAAACUCGAUCUCAAAUCAAGUAAGACUACCCGCUGAACUUAAGCAUAUCAAUAAGCGGAGGA
Molecule: unclassified non-coding RNA, 431 nt
Filed under: soil metagenome
Description: partial contains 5.8S ribosomal RNA, internal transcribed spacer 2, and large subunit ribosomal RNA
Rfam family: 5.8S ribosomal RNA (bases 1-119)
Source: RNAcentral